RNAcentral lists this ribosomal RNA (1532 nucleotides) under Klebsiella variicola. Its description in RNAcentral is "bacterial SSU rRNA". It matches the Rfam family "Bacterial small subunit ribosomal RNA". The record is from RNAcentral. Lineage: Bacteria; Pseudomonadati; Pseudomonadota; Gammaproteobacteria; Enterobacterales; Enterobacteriaceae.
AGAGUUUGAUCAUGGCUCAGAUUGAACGCUGGCGGCAGGCCUAACACAUGCAAGUCGAGCGGUAGCACAGAGAGCUUGCUCUCGGGUGACGAGCGGCGGACGGGUGAGUAAUGUCUGGGAAACUGCCUGAUGGAGGGGGAUAACUACUGGAAACGGUAGCUAAUACCGCAUAAUGUCGCAAGACCAAAGUGGGGGACCUUCGGGCCUCAUGCCAUCAGAUGUGCCCAGAUGGGAUUAGCUGGUAGGUGGGGUAACGGCUCACCUAGGCGACGAUCCCUAGCUGGUCUGAGAGGAUGACCAGCCACACUGGAACUGAGACACGGUCCAGACUCCUACGGGAGGCAGCAGUGGGGAAUAUUGCACAAUGGGCGCAAGCCUGAUGCAGCCAUGCCGCGUGUGUGAAGAAGGCCUUCGGGUUGUAAAGCACUUUCAGCGGGGAGGAAGGCGGUGAGGUUAAUAACCUCAUCGAUUGACGUUACCCGCAGAAGAAGCACCGGCUAACUCCGUGCCAGCAGCCGCGGUAAUACGGAGGGUGCAAGCGUUAAUCGGAAUUACUGGGCGUAAAGCGCACGCAGGCGGUCUGUCAAGUCGGAUGUGAAAUCCCCGGGCUCAACCUGGGAACUGCAUUCGAAACUGGCAGGCUAGAGUCUUGUAGAGGGGGGUAGAAUUCCAGGUGUAGCGGUGAAAUGCGUAGAGAUCUGGAGGAAUACCGGUGGCGAAGGCGGCCCCCUGGACAAAGACUGACGCUCAGGUGCGAAAGCGUGGGGAGCAAACAGGAUUAGAUACCCUGGUAGUCCACGCUGUAAACGAUGUCGAUUUGGAGGUUGUGCCCUUGAGGCGUGGCUUCCGGAGCUAACGCGUUAAAUCGACCGCCUGGGGAGUACGGCCGCAAGGUUAAAACUCAAAUGAAUUGACGGGGGCCCGCACAAGCGGUGGAGCAUGUGGUUUAAUUCGAUGCAACGCGAAGAACCUUACCUGGUCUUGACAUCCACAGAACUUUCCAGAGAUGGAUUGGUGCCUUCGGGAACUGUGAGACAGGUGCUGCAUGGCUGUCGUCAGCUCGUGUUGUGAAAUGUUGGGUUAAGUCCCGCAACGAGCGCAACCCUUAUCCUUUGUUGCCAGCGGUUAGGCCGGGAACUCAAAGGAGACUGCCAGUGAUAAACUGGAGGAAGGUGGGGAUGACGUCAAGUCAUCAUGGCCCUUACGACCAGGGCUACACACGUGCUACAAUGGCAUAUACAAAGAGAAGCGACCUCGCGAGAGCAAGCGGACCUCAUAAAGUAUGUCGUAGUCCGGAUUGGAGUCUGCAACUCGACUCCAUGAAGUCGGAAUCGCUAGUAAUCGUAGAUCAGAAUGCUACGGUGAAUACGUUCCCGGGCCUUGUACACACCGCCCGUCACACCAUGGGAGUGGGUUGCAAAAGAAGUAGGUAGCUUAACCUUCGGGAGGGCGCUUACCACUUUGUGAUUCAUGACUGGGGUGAAGUCGUAACAAGGUAACCGUAGGGGAACCUGCGGUUGGAUCACCUCCUU